UACGGAGGGUGCAAGCGUUAUCCGGAUUCACUGGGUUUAAAGGGUGCGUAGGCGGGCAGGUAAGUCAGUGGUGAAAUCUUCAAGCUUAACUUGGAAACUGCCAUUGAUACUAUCUGUCUUGAAUAUCGCGUAGGUAAGCGGAAUAUGUCAUGUAGCGGUGAAAUGCUUAGAUAUGACAUAGAACACCAAUUGCGAAGGCAGCUUACUUCACGAUUAUUGACACUGAGGCACGAAAGCGUGGGGAGCAAACAGG
Molecule: ribosomal RNA, 253 nt
Filed under: uncultured bacterium
Lineage: Bacteria
Description: partial 16S ribosomal RNA
Rfam family: Bacterial small subunit ribosomal RNA
Source: RNAcentral